RNAcentral lists this ribosomal RNA (480 nucleotides) under uncultured bacterium. Its description in RNAcentral is "bacterial SSU rRNA". It matches the Rfam family "Bacterial small subunit ribosomal RNA", at positions 30 to 507 of the family's 1533-position model. The record is from RNAcentral.
AUUGAACGCUGGCGGAAUGCUUUACACAUGCAAGUCGAACGGUAGAGGGGGCAACCCCUUGAGAGUGGCGAACGGGUGAGUAAUAUAUCGGAACGUGCCCAGUCGUGGGGGAUAACGUAGCGAAAGUUACGCUAAUACCGCAUACGUCCUGAGGGAGAAAGCGGGGGACCGUAAGGCCUCGCGCGAUUGGAGCGGCCGAUGUCAGAUUAGCUAGUUGGUGGGGUAAAGGCCCACCAAGGCGACGAUCGGUAGGGGGCCUGAGAGGGUGAUCCCCCACACUGGUACUGAGACACGGUCCAGACUCCUACGGGAGGCAGCAGUGGGGAAUUUUGGACAAUGGACGCAAGUCUGAUCCAGCCAUUCCGCGUGCAGGACGAAGGCCUUCGGGUUGUAAACUGCUUUUGUACAGAACGAAAAGGUCUCUAUUAAUACUAGGGGCUCAUGACGGUACUGUAAGAAUAAGCACCGGCUAACUACGUG